RNAcentral lists this long non-coding RNA (23628 nucleotides) under Fragaria vesca (wild strawberry). RNAcentral's name for it is "long non-coding RNA (FVES_LNC003091)". Lineage: Eukaryota; Viridiplantae; Streptophyta; Magnoliopsida; Rosales; Rosaceae. The record is from RNAcentral.
AUGAGACGUAACUGCCCAUAUAAAAAUUUUGAGACAUUUACCUUCCGACGAUAGGCCUCCCCAUAGAGAAUAAUAACGGUAAAUAGUAGACACAUGAUUCCGAUGACUAAAAUUUACAAACCAAAAUUCGACCGUCAGAUAUGAUCAUUAUGACAAAAGAUGUCUAUGGUAAAAAAUUCAACUAGAUUCGACAACGUUAAAGGCUCGAUCGAAACGGUCAACUCUAAUCGGAAAUAAGAAAACUGCAUUUUGAAGCCCUAAACGGACUCGGAUGUCCAAAAAGGCCCAUAGGUCAUGGCAUAGCAUUGAGUUUGACUCGUAGGGCCGUUGCGCUUCCGGAAAGGUAUCACAAUAGUUAAUCGGACACCAAACGCCAAAUCUGCAGCAUAGUGAAUAAUAAGGGUAAAUUGCAUUGACCGCAACUAUCGGCACCGAGACUUUACCGGAAUACUGUGAUUUUUCAACCGUAAACGUAUUUCACCAUUCUGGUCAUAUCUUAUUUCACGACUUUUUUGCAUUUGAAGAUUCUACGUAUAGUUUUUUUUUCCCGGAUGAGUUGUUGUCUAGAUCUGCAAAUAUAAGGCACUUUAACCGACAAAACUAUAUUUUCGUCGGCUAAACUUUUAAAAAUUUCGUCGGCUAAAGUUCACAGACUGUAGCCGACGAAAAAAAUUAUUCAGACAACGAAAUUUUAAUUUCGUCGGCUAAAGUUGACCAAAGCCGACGAAAAUUUAAAUUAACCGACGAAAGAAAAUUUCGUCUGCUAAAGUCCAUCUUAGCCGACGAAAAAAUAAUUCAUCGGCCUGAUUUUUUUAUUUUCGUCGGCUAAAGUCUUUCUUCUGGUAGUGGUUGGUUGCUGCCAGCUUUGCAGCUUUGGCAGCAGCAUAUUUUUCCUAAGCCAACAAAAACACAUGAAAGUAAAGAGCUUAUAUAGUAAAAAGAAAAUACAUUUUAAUGGAUGUAAUAUAGUUGAAUUGUUACCCUUUGGUUCUUGGCAUUCUUCCUUGCUUUUGCCCUCAUUUCAUUUAGAGUCAUAGGAGGUCGCUUUGGUUUCUUUGGCUGCAAUAAUGUUGUACACAAUAAGUGACACAAAUAGCCAUGAAAUUAGUAAAACAAGAGUACUCUAAGAUUUAUAAAACUCUAAUACCUGAUCAGAAAUUUGAUGCCCUUCAUUGCUGGCUUUUCUCUUCUUGUUCUCCUUUGGAGGUAAAUGCCUAUGACAUGUUAUCUUAUUAUGCCCUACGAUACCAUAAAUGCCACAUUUGAGGGAUCUCUGCUGCCUUCUCAACUUACCCUCCGUAUUUGCAGAUGCAUCCUUAAACUUUUCAGAUUGAUCCUUUUUCCUUUUUGUCGACGUCGGCCUUCCAUGCAUUCUUGAAUAUGAAGGAGGUAAGAUUGCUGGUCCUCACACCUUGACCACAUGUCUAUAUUGUUAAUAGGAUAGAUGAAAUUGUUGUAGAUAGCCAUGUAUGUCUUCUUCGAAUAACACUCGGCAACAUAAUCCUCAAGGGCUUCCCUCUUCAAGUAGAUGGCUGAAACUGCAUGCUUGCAUGGGAUUCCAGUCAAAUCCUAGCUCCUGCAACUACAUGUUCUCAGCCUUAGGUCAACAACAUUCUUGGUUCCUUGAAUGUUUUCAACCUCAAAUCUAUCCCCACCAUUGAAAGUUAGAGUACAAUCUGCAGAUUUGAUCUUGUUCUUCUCCAAAGUGUCUCUUGGCUUAGGGCAAAUAUUGUGCUCAUACUUGUCCAUUAUCUGCCUUCUCAUUUGAAUCCUCUUCAUAAGCUUCCACCUUAUUUCUUCGAACAUGGUAAUGGGAGGCUUCUUUCUAGCAUCCACGAUAACUGCAUUGAAACUCUCACAUAUAUUGUUAUCCAUUAUGUCACAAUUGCUGGUUGUGUUGAAAAAUACCUGACACCAAUGUCUUGGAGGCCUAUCCUCGUCUGCAAAACAAGUUGAACAAAAACAGUAGUUAAAUCAUCCUGCUAAAACUGCAAUAGCACCAAAACAAAAGGACAGUAAGCAUCUAAACUUUAUCCAAAAUUUUAUCGCUUCACUUACGUGUCAUCCAUUUGUAUGCAUCCUUAUCAAGAUCAUUCAUCUCUUCGAUGUCUUUAAGGUAGUAAGGCAUUGUAGUAUUCCUGACACACUUCCACAUUUGAUCUUUCAAAACUUUUCCACGAAAUAGUUUUAUGAAAUUGGUCCACAUAUGCCUUACACAAAAUCUGAUUUCCGCGCUUGGUACCACCAUUUGACAUGCAGGAAUGAGGCCUUUCUGCUUGUCACUAAUAAAAACCCAUCCUACUCCAUCUUCCUUGAUAUCUAAGUCCUUGCAAAGAAGUUCCAAAAACCAGAUCCAUGAAUCUUUAUUCUCAUUUUCCACCAUAGCAUAUGCAAUAACCCAGCUGUUGUUGUUUGCAUCCACACCAACAGCAGUCAAAAGCUGGCCUCCAAAUGGACUUUUCAAGAAUGCACCAUUUAAGCCCAUCACACUUCUACAACCAGAUUUCAUUCCAUUCUUCAAGGCUCCCAAGCAUAUAUACAUUCUUUGAAACUGUGGAUCCUUGUUACUGUUGCUGAAAUCACACCUUAUAUCCAUUGUGGUAUCAGGAUUAACCCUCUUCAACUCAUUCGCAUAGUCUUUUAACCUUGCAAACUGAUCUCGGAUGGAACCCUCAACCUCUUCCAAAAACCGCCACCUUAACCUUGUAAGCCAUCUGCUUGUUAACUUUUGCCCUCAUCUCACUUGACAUUGUCUUGGCUAAUGAUUCUGCAACAGAAACUUAGUAUAUAAUACACAUAUAUAAACACCCCAUCAGAAAAACACAUAAACUCUCACCUGGGUUCUAGUCCGGAUUGAGGGCAAUUCGAUCCUUGAACUUCCUCACUAGAAGUUUCAUCCUCACCAUGGUAUUGUUAAAUGUUUCAUCCUCACCAUCCUCACCAUGCAUGUGUGGCGAGGAAUCCACUCCUUGAUCUUAAGAGUAUCCUCAUGUUGCAAUUUAGAAGCAAAUAGCAGAAAAGGAUAAUUAUCUUGUUUGCAUAUAGCCUUUAGUCUGACCUUGUCAUUCUUCUGAUACUGAUACUCCCAGCCCCUUUUUAAAGCCAUCAGUCUAAGAGCAUCCCUCAAUAUCACGACACUACCAAACAUCAUGCCCAACUGGAACCUUGGUCUGACCAUGUCAAUUUUAGGGUUGAAGUGUCAGGACCCACCCCGAAUUUCACCCUGAAACCCGAGGUAAAUCCUGUGGGGUCCACCUUCAAGGAAAAUUUACCGAAAAUUCGGCACAACCUUCUUUGAAAAUAGACAACCCUUUCUUGAAAAAUCCAACUUAACACUUCUAUAAUCAAACAUCCAUCCUCAUCUCCUGGAGCUUUCCUGCUCCCCAAGUUCAUCAAAACUCUCAAUAACAAUUUCUCAUCUAAUAAUAAUUCCACAACCAACAAUAAGGACAUUUAAUAAGCUACUACUAGACUUUCAGAGCAUAUCUAAUGAUGAAUGAAAACAAUGAAAAUGAAUUAGCGGAAGCAGCCUCUGACUAUGCCUCGACUCUAUAUACGCUCGUCCUCAAAUAACUUAGCCUGCAAACUGGGCAUUUAUAAACCAAAGGGCCCAGGGGAAAGUAAUUUAAAAACGUUAGAAUGAGUGGACAAAAAUAAAUUCAAUAACUUAACAAUUAUAAAACUUAUAUACUUUCCCACUUUUCAACUUUUAAAACUUAACAGCAUGCAACUUAAACGUCCUUAAACCUUUAAAUCCAAAAUCACUUAAUAAAGGACAAACCAGCCCCGCUGGUUAGUUAAAACAGAAAUCUCAUAAGAGGAGAUAAACCAGCCCCGCUGGUUAAUCAAAUAUAUUAUUGAGAAGAAUAAAAUAGGGGAAGAGUUAUCACCAUGAAAAAGAAGCCUCCCAGGCUCGGGUCGAUGCCUCCCAGGCUAUAAUAGCGUCCCACGCUAAGCGCUCAACUCACAUAUGAUGAGGACCACUAAAUAAGGCUAUAAUAGCGUCCCACGCUAAGUGCUCAACUCACAUAUGAUGAGGAUUGCUAAUAAGGCUAGCUAACUAAUAAAUAUAAAUACCGAUCGGUUGCCUCCCAAGGUAUAAUAGCGUCCCACGCUAAGCGCUCUACUCACAUAUGAAGAAGACCGCUAAUAAGGCUAUAAUAGCGACUCACAUAUGAUGAGGACCGCUAAUAAGGUUAGCUAGCAAUAAUCAAGAUAAACGACCCUAUAAUAUGGUGACUAAAACAUACGAAGUCACUUAAAUCCAUUAAACUUCCCUCCAAGGCCAAACGAAUGGUAUGGUUCCCAACCGUACAUGAAAAUCAUCAGAAGAAAUCAUAACACAACUCAAUGACUUGUCUCACACGUCAAAAUAUUCUCCAAUUUAUAAAUAUAAGCGAGAUUUCAAUAACAGAUAUGAAUCAUAAAUAAUAGUAUCUCCGCCUGAAAAUACUCGCUAAAAUAUUCUCCAAGUCAAAAUCAUUAUGCCUCAAAUAAACAAUUAAAUUAUGAGGAGAACUACCGACAAUCCCAUUUUCGGUAAUCAUUUAUAAAACUCAAAGUCAAGAUCGAUAUUCCACCAAUAAUUUCGAGAAUUAAAAAUAGGAAACUACCGAAAAUCCCAUUUUUGGAAAUCUUAUAUAAAUCUCAAAAUCCACCAUUAAAACCAUUUAAUGAAAUCCGGAAUUUAUAAAAAUAUCCAAACUCAAAUAUCAAAAUAAUAAUCCGAGCUCAACUCCAUAAAUCAUGACCAACACUUAAUAAAUGCACCAAACUCAAAUAAUUUUCAAGCUCAUCUCAUGAACUGAAAAAUUAUAUUAUAUGCUCGGAAAAUAAAAUGAUAGAUUAUAAAAUCUUGCAUGCAUACUUAUUUUUAAAACCAAAAUGUCCACUCACAAAUUUAGGCAUAAGCCCGACGAUAACCGCAACGCCACUCAAGCGAGGUUCCCUUCGCAUCCUGGCACAACAACCAUGCUUAGAACCAAACUUCAAUUCCAGAAAAAUAAAUACGUGAAUUAAAAUAUCUAACUCUCCUCCGUUUAACCCUCUACUCUUAAUAGGGUUAAACUCGCCGGAUUCACACCAAACUCUACCACAACCUUAAUUCAUCAAUUCUAACAGUCUAUAAUAAAUACCAAGGAAAUCCAACGGCCGGAUUUUCAUUCUAAUAACCGGCAUUUUCUCCAAUCUCCGAAAAAUUCUAAACCUAACCAAAACUCAUCCAAAAAUUCCAAACUAUACUUCAAUAAACUCCUCUUAUUAAAACCAUCUCAAAAGCAGGAAAAACUGCCCUUAAGGGGCGGCGGCGGCCGGCAACCGUUUUCCGGCGACCUCCAAUGCUUCUCAAAUUUUCACAGAAUAUUCCUCUCAUCAUGCUCAACAACAUUCAUAACUAGCACUUAGUCCAUUUGUAAGGCUAACUAGGGCAAUCGAACCAAAACAUCCAUAAAUCCCUAAAACUUCAAUUAUACAUUUCUCUAUAACCACAACGAGAUAGACUAAUUCCUUUUGAGGGAUUACUCACCUUGAUGAGGGCUACAAGAUAAGCCAAAGAUUUCGACCUAUGGCGGCCGGAGGUGGGAUUUCCGGCAAAAAGCUUCCCGGCAUCUCCGGCGGGUUUUCUCCUCUUCUGACGAGCUAACGGCUCGGGGGCUAGGCCGGGGAGGGAGAGGAGGUGGCGAGGGUUCGGGCAGAGGUGGUCCGGCGGUCCCUGGCGACCGGACGGCAGCGGAUAGAGGCUCUUCUCCGGCGGGUCAAGUUGCACAGGUGAGGGAGGGAGAGAAAGUGAUGGGUGAGGGAGAGAGGGAGAGAGAGGAAAUGAGGGGGGAGGGUUUUGGGCUGCUCCACAGCCGGCCCAGCUAUAAACCCAACCAAAAAAUAAUACCCAUUAAUAAUUACCCCCUUUUUUCAACUCAAAAUUUACUCUUUUAAUAAUAACUUUUUCAUGCUAGCUCCGAUUUUAACACAUAGCAUGUCUACGAACUCGUAUUAACGUCCUCUACAACUUUCAUGAAGAAAGUUUCCCCAAAUUCCAAACGGAAAAGAAAAUCAACUUUAGGGUCCUUAAAGGGUAACCGGUUACUUAACACGGUAAAAGACCAAAAUAAUACCAAAGUAAAUAACCGUAAAAUAACUUAAGAACCGGGGCGUGACAUGAAGUGCAACCCUUGCUCUUCCCUCUCACCAUCAGAGUUCACAAUGUAGUUGGGCAGUUCUUCAUCAGAAUCUACUCCUCCAAACAUAUCCUCUUUGUCAAAAAAUUCUAGAUGCUGCAUAUUUUCUCCAUUUCUUGAUCCAACAUGACCAUUGAGAAGUGAUCUUUUUCAUUGCUCUUCUUCAUCCGUAAUUUCUUCAACAAUAUAAUCAUCCUCAUCAUCUACAUACUUGUCAUAGUCCUUAUCUUCUGGUAGAGGGUAGUAAUCAGAAUCCUCACUAUCUGAAGGUUCAUCAUCAUAACCUUCUUGAUCUUCAUAACCCACUUUUUCUUGCCUUUGACCACCAUAAGACUGUAGAAAAUCCAAAGAAUCAAAAUUAUCAAAGUCUUGCAGAUUCCCAGCCACAUUCUGCAACAAAUUAUCCUGCUCCACAUCAUGUGACCUAAAACCACUAGAUGACUGCCCAACAUCAUUUGAACCUUCCCAACCAUGCUGAACUACCUUUUUAUGUGGCUUCAUGGACUUAGGAACCUCAAGUUGUUUUUGCUUUCCUUUUUCCUUAUUAUUUUUCCCGCCAACAACGCUACAUUGAGUAGGCACACCCUAUUCAGGUUCUUUUAUCACCACUCCCUUGCUAGGUCUAGCCUCUUCUAUCUCUUCUAUCAAAACAUUGCUUGGUUGCAUGACAAACAAGUCUUCAUAUAUGAAGUCAUCAUCUUCUGGUUCCUUGUGGUCGACAUAGAGAAAUAUCAAUCUCACAAGAGGUACAAGGGUACACAUCACCAAAACAUCCCAAUCGGACUCCAACUUCAUUAAACACCCUCUUUCAUCACCAACUCUAUACCAAUAAUACAUUCGUCAGUAAGCAUAAUCUAGAUUAAUCUCAUGUAGCAUACUAUCUAUCUCAACAAAAGACAUCUUAUCUUUGUCCACAUUGUCAAAGUAGCUUAUUUUGCCUCCAACAUAUUUAUUGCCUGUGUCACACCCCGAAUUUUGGAUAAAUAAAAAUUCCAAAUUCAAGGCAUGAUAAUAAAAAAGAAAAACAAUCAAUACAACAAUUUAGUUUUACAACUUGUGGAAAAUAAUUUGAACAAAGUAAAAUCUCCCUCAAAACUCACUGCAAUCUAGAAAGUAAACAACAAGAAUAAUGCCUAUCUGCCACAGCCUCAACUCUGCUAAACCUGACCUGCAAAAACAACCUCUACACCAUGGAUUGGUGCACUGGGUUGUAAACAACAAACCGGGUAAGCUUUAAUACCUCGUAUGAGUAAAUCAACAAUAAAAGACUCAACCCAACAUCACAUAUGAAUAAAAAUUGGAAUUCUUCCAUUAAUAAUUUAGUUCAGGAAUCACCUAAAAGCAAAAGAAAUUUAGAAGAAAUAAUUAAGAGAACACAACAAUUCAAAAUCAUAAAUGAAUCCUGCAAAAAGCGUAGUUCAGGAUUCCACUAAAAAUCACACAAAUAAAAUUAAAGAAUCUCCUGCAUUAAGCAUAGUUCAGGAGAUACUUAAAACAAGGAAUUUAAAUGACAACAAUAAAGAACAUCACGCAAAUCAUUUCUCCACUCUUACUUAUGAGUUCGUCAACGCAUAAUCAUCCCCCAUAAGUAACUAGACAAACACAUACUCAUGGUUUCGUCAACACAUAGUCAUCCCCCAUGAAGUACCGACAGACUAGAGCUCUAUACUGACCGUAACCAAUCACCCGGCCAAGGCUUGGUUCCCGAUCCACCACGAAGGCUCCUCAUCUAAUGCACACAAUCACCACUAAGGCACACAACCACAACUAAUGCACAACAAUCACCACAAAGGCACAACCACAAUUAAUGCACACAAUCACCACAAAGGCACACAACCACAACUAAUGUACAACAAUCACCACUAAGACACCAUUUCACAAUUAAUGCACACAAUCACCACAAAGACACACAUCCAAUUAUAACCCAUGAUCAGAAGUCCUUUUGAAAGAUUUUAUUUUUAUUAGAAAACAUAUUUUCAUAAUUAGCCGUUGACGAUUAAGCUCAUUUAUAUCUAAAAACAAAAUCAUUUUCUUUCAAGGACAACUUCACAACUAGCAAUAAUAAACUAUAAAAUAAACUCGGUUCCUUUAUGAACUCAUGUGAGAUUUACUCACAAUAUAAUAAUAUCAUCAUCAUCAAAAUCAUUAUCAUCAACAUCAUCAUCAUAAUAAUUAUCAAAAUCAUUAUCAUCAUCAUCAUUAAACUCAUCAUCAUAAUCGUCAUCAUAACAAUUAUCAUCAUCAUCAUCAUCAAAAUCACUAUCAUAAUCAUCAUCAAAAUGACCAUCAUAAUCAUCAUUAAACUCAACAUCACAAUCAUCAUCAUAAUCAUCAUCAAAAUAAAUAGGUCACAAAGUGGACCUUGGUGAGAUUUUACUCACUUUUACUCCCGCUGCGUCUUCACACAAAUACAAGCGUCUAGCUCAAAACUAAACUCCACAAGUCACCCUAUUAACAAAAACGUUAACCUUAGUAACUGACAAAUACGACUUUUACACUUGUUUUCAUAAGUUCAACAUGACAACCAACAACGCUAACACUUUCAGACGUGCCGCCACAUGCAGCUGCGUGUGGGCCCCACACGCCCCCUAAGAACUUCACAAAACCCUAACAUGCUCAAGCAACUCUGAAAACUACACUCAACAUACUCACGUGCUCGUAUCGAUAAGCACAACCUAACAAAGACUACAGACCUCCCAAUCCCCUCCCGGACGCGCCGCCACGCGCCACCACAGAAGGCAGCGAGUGGGCCCCACGCGUCACCAUACAACCUUGCAAUAAAGCACACCCACUAUACCCAACAUGAACAACAAGGCAAGGAGAACAAUUUUCAUACCUAGAGUAACCGCCAGAUCGGUUGGAGCACGCCAGAAAACUGGCCGGAAAGAUAGAAUCCACCCAUCGUAACUCUACGUCGUGAGUUGAGCUUCAAGACCACCAUAAGUUGAACCAGAGCGCCCAACACUUUCUAUCUCGACCGGUUUCAAGCCUCGUCGCCGCUGCCGGAGGUGAGAAUUCGAUCGGGUUGCAAACCGGGUCCCCAGCCCUCACUGUGGCGCUCGGCUUGCAUAGCUCAGCUCGAGUCGUCCUCACCCACCAACACAGGGAAGAUUGCGCAGAGGAGAGAAAGAGAAUCUGACCGGUGCCACCGUCUGAGUCCGCUAGAGUCGGCCGGAAAAUCCGGGUCGGGUCAACCGGGUCCGAGUCGGGUCGGCUGGAGAACUUUAGUGGUGAGGGUUCGGGGAGAGAGGGAGGGAGAGGGAGAAGAAAUGUGAUUCUGAAAAAAUGAGGACCCAAAACGAAAUUUUCCUAUUUAACCUAAAUAUUCCCGAAAAGCCACAACUUCCGCUGACUAUAACUUUCUCAUACGAAGAUCGUUUUACGCGUGCCAUGUGUCUACGAACUCGUAUCGUCGUGCUCUACAACUUCCGUAAAGGAAGUUUCGAGAAACCCAACAGAUUAGAAAGUCAACUCUUGAGCCUUCAGAAUAAAGCAUUUUCAAGAAAUUAAACGCUUACACUUCCAGCCUUCUUUCGAACCUGAAAAACACACUAACUUCUAACUCGAAAAUUCCCAAAUAAUAUCGGGAGCUAAUAUCAAAAUUUUGAGGUAUUACAGCCUGAUAUGCACCUUCCAUGCAACAUCUUAAGUGUGAAAUAGUCUGGAUGAUCUACAAAGACAAAUGGUACAUGCCCAAAAGGGUAGGUUAUAUAAUUGGUAAUUUUGCCUCCAUAAAAGAGGUACAUGCCAAAACUAAAGUGACCAAAUAAACAACAAAUUUGCAUACAACAAUCCUGUUCAAUCACAUUUAAGAUAAAAUAAUACAUUUUUCUAGAGAACCACACAAAACAUCACUACUGAAACCCCCUAUUUUAUUAAUACCGAACCACUGAACCACACAAACCCAUACCAAUUUCAAACUGAACUUGAACAAUAUUAAAAGCAAAUCAUCAACACAACAACUUCAAGUUUCUAAUGAUGAACUUGGGGCAAUCCAAAAAAUAUAUAAAGCUUCCUACAAGGAAACAGCUUCUUCAUGUUGAAUAAUUUCAUAAUGCAUGAGAAGUAAAAACUGAUUCAUAUAGCUAAUUGAUUAUACAAAGCUUGUUGCUCUCUGUGAAAGCUUAACUAGUGCUCACGAUCCUCAGGACCACUCAUAGAUUUGUUAUAUAUAGUUUAAGCAACAAACAAAUUGAACUAAAAAUAUUAAUCUGAACGAAGAACUAACAAUAUUAUACAUUAGAGAGAUAUACCAAGUACCAAUGCUUGUUUGCACUAGUGGGUGGGAGCUAGUGUGGCUUAAGCAAGGUCGAAGGUUCGAUCCUUGUGUAUGCAGCAACAAUCUUAGGAGAGCUUCCCCGUCUACGGGCGGUCCUAACCCUGCUCGAAUGGGAAUUGGGUUUCCGUUAAGGGGUAUUAUCCCCGAACGCCCAAAACCCUUGAUAAAAGAAUAAAGAGAGAUAUACCAAGUCUACUGUAUAUAUCGAUUCGCUAGUUCAUUUGAUAUAGUUUGUGCUGGUAAAUUAGAAUCUUUCUUGUGAUGAUUCAACAACUCGGUUAGUUUAUUGAAUCCAAUUAUUAUAGAUUAUUUGUGUUUAGACCAACAGCUUAAGUUGUAAAAUUUAAAAAUUCUAUUUCAAGUUGGCUUUAAGAGAUAGAUAAAUACAUAAUUAUGUGCCUGAUUACAACUCUGACGAACUAAUGACAAGAGAUUAAGACUUUGUUCAGUUUUAUUAACUGAAUUUACUAUUACAAACUUCACGCCUGCAGGUUAGAGUCAACUAAUCUCUUCAAGGAUGUGAAGUGAGUGUUCUACCACUACAAUUACAAUUGUUUAAUCCUCUGAGAAAUAUUAUUAUCAUUAACAAAGCUUUUAAAAAGGAAAAUGGGACAGACCAGAAGUUUUGGCAGAUCUAGGCGCCACUUCAACAACCAUAUUAUACGGUUAUCUGGCCUAUAACAAACAUCACAACAGCUUUGAAAUCAAUUCCACAAAUAUACUCCCAAACCCAGAAACUCAAAACCUAAAAAGUUAUCAACCAACCAUAAUUUAUUAUCUAGAUAUCGAAACCAUCAAAAAUAAAAACCACCUUUUCCAUCAACAGUGGAUAUAAGGUUGAAUUUUGAAACCCAGAAACCUUAAAUUUUGAAACCAGAAACCCUAAAUUUUGGAAUCGAAACUCACCAUAAGAUCGAAUCCAUUCGUUCAUGUCCCUGUCUUCUCGACGAAUCCAAACCACGAUGUCCUUCAUCUCCAUUAAUUGUCGAAACACCCAACCCUCAAUGGUUUCAAAUUUCAUGGGGCUUCGUCAACUUUAAAAUACGACUUUUCAUUACGCUGCCAUCUUAUAGCAAGAAGGAGUAUGUGUGAUGGAGUGGGUAUGCGUGAUAGAUUCGAAGAAGUGAAUUUAGGGUUUUAAGAGAGAAGAGGAGAUGGGUUAUCGAAAGGGCACUACCAGAAGAAAGGCUUUAGCUGACGAAAAUAAAAAAACCAGGCCAACGAAUUAUUUUUUCGUCGGCUAAAGUCCACGUUAGCCGACGAAAUUUUCCUUCGUCGGCUAAUUUAAAUUUUCGUCGGCUAUAGUCAAUUUUAGCCGACGACAUUAAAAUUUCGUCGGCUAAAGAAUUUUUUUCGUCGGCUAUAGUCUGUCAACUUUAGUCGACGACUUUAAAAAUUCUUUAGCUGACGAAAUUAAAAUUUCGUCGGCUAAAGUGUCUUAUAUUUGCAGAUCUGGACAGCAGCUUUAAUUUCGUCGGCUAAAGUGCCUUAUAUUUGCAGAUCUGGACAGCAGCUCAUCAUCUGGGAAAAAAAAACUGGAGAAAAAGUUUGGGUGUUGUCGAAAUCUGUCCAUAAUUAGUUUGUGGAGCUAUAUAUAGGUACGUAUAUGUGUAUAUAUGUUGAUUUUAAAUUUUAUUUGAGUUGAUCGAUUUUGAGUGUGAUUGAGUUGAUCGAUUUUAAGUACGUCGUUGGAUGUAUAUAUAUAUAUAUGUGUUGAUCGAUUUGGUUGAUGAUUUGAUAAUAUAUAUGUAGUUGUUGUUAAUAAGUAGUAGAUAUAUAUAUACGGAUUUUCUCAGCUGCGGACGUCCGCACCAAUUUUUUGGUGCGGAUUUCCAUUUUUGCACCACUUUCCGAUCGAAUUUCCUCAUCUCCACCGUCUAGUAUCUAGAUAAUAUUGUGUAGAUCAUCUCUGCAAAAUUUCAGCCAAUUUGGUGAUCGUUAAGGCCCUCAAACUUGAAAAAAAAAUGGACGGACUGAAUUCUGUCCGGUUAUGUUCAUACCAGAAAAACUCGAGUUUGAGGACCCUAAUGAUCACCAAAUUGGCUGAAAUUUUGCAGAGAUGAUCUACACAAUAUUAUCUAGAUACUAGACGGUGGAGAUGAGGAAAUUCGAUCGAAAAGUGGUGCAAAAAUGGAAAUCCGCACCAAAACCAUUGGUGCGGACGUCCGCACCUGAUCAGCAUUGUAUAUAUAUAUAUAAUAAUAAUAAUCUUACAAGUCCCUCCAUCCAUUUGACUGGUGUGGCAUGAACACUUUGGUGCACCUUGAUGGCGCUGGGUUUGAUGAUUUGGUGGUUUGUGGUGGAGUAAUAUUGGCUUCAGAAUUAGUGGAUGAGUGAUCUUGAACUUUCUUUCCAAUAUUUAUGUUCCAGUAAUUCAAGAUUCCAUUGUCUGUUCAGCCGGUAUCUGCACCAAUAAGUAAUACAGUAAAUAAUAAAAACAUACAUAUUGUGUAUAUGCUCUUAGCCUCUAUCUAGUGUUAAGUUGAUGUGGAAAGAUAAAUUGAUGUGGAACUGUUAAGUAGAAUCCCAGAGUGUUCUUUGCCUACCAAUAAAUUCAGAUCUAGCCAUGACAUUGUACGAUAGAUCAACUAAUGAUACCUCAACAAACAUGAACACAAAAGACUAAAUCUUGUACAAAGGAUUUAGGGAUGUGUUUGAACAAAAGAAACAUGGAACAAAAUGGAAUAAAAUCAUCAAAAUGAUAUUGAUUUCUCCCCGAAUCUAAAUAACUUAGAAACGAAUGAAAUAUAGUCUCAAGUCUCAAGUCUCAACUAACAAAAAAUGUGUCUGCUUUUUCACAACAUUCAUAACCAUACUGACCCACAAAAGGCAUGCGCUAUUGUUAGAUAAAUACAAANNNNNNNNNNNNNNNNNNNNGUAUAGUAUAUAUAUAUAUAUAUAUAUAUAUGUUAAUUAAUUUAUUAUAUUGUGUUGAUGGUAUGAAGUUGUUGAUGAUAUGAGUUGAUGAUGAUUUUGUGAUGAUGUUGAUAUAUAUAUAUAAUAUUGUUAUGUAAUUAUUAAGUAUAUAUAUAUAUAUGUUAAUUAAUUUGUUAUUAAUUAAUAUAUAUAAUAUUGUUACAUAUAUAUUUUGUUAUAUUUUCAGGAUAUGGAUAAGAGUUGGAUUUUGCUUCCAAAAUGGGACAAAAGAUAUGGUAAAUGAGUUAUUAGUUUUCUGGAAUAUGCGCUGGCUAAUGCUAACGGGAAUAGAAUUUUCUAUUGCCCGUGCACGAAAUGUCAGUGUCGCAGCGAUAUGCAUCGAUUUGCGAUUGACAAAGUAUGGCAGCACCUAAAGAGUAACGGGUUUUGGAAAAAGUACACAUGUUGGUUAUAUUACGGUGAAACAUUAUCAGGGGGUCCGCAUGAUCAUGGGCAAUUUUCUGAGACGGGCAGUACAUCCAACGAUCCAACAACGGCCUUCAUCAACAACAUGUUUCCUUAUGAGAGCGGUGUAUGCGCUCAAGAACAGUAUAUGCCUGAGCCGGUACAGCCCUUCCCUAGAGUUAUCAACACUGUUGGUAUUGACAAGUACAACAAAUUGCUUGCUUUCUAACAAACCCCUGUAUACCUCAGUUGUCAGAAGACUGUUCUUGAAAGUAUGAUGGACGUAAUGAAGAUUAAAGUUGAGACAAAAUCGACCGUGAAGGCUGUUGAUGAUUAUCUACAGUACACUGCUUCGAUGCUGCCCCACGGUCAUCGUCUUACUACCACUCAUCAUAAGGUCUGAUGUAUCCUGAAAGAUUUUGGGCUUUCCUACAUGAAGAUCCAUGCAUGCAGAUAUGACCACGUUCUCUUCUAGGGUAAAGAUGCAGAAGGGAAUGACCUUGGUGGCCUUGACGCAUGUCUGGUAUGUCACACUGACAGGUAUAAGCUGACUCCUGCAGACAAUAGGAAACCUAUGAAGGUACUUCGGUAUUUCCCGUUGAGGGAUAGGCUGGAGCGGUUGUACAUGUCUUCACACACGACCGAAGAUAUGAGAUGGCAUGCUGAUAGGGAAUUGCAUGAUGAAAAUACCCCUAUACACCCUGCUGACGGGGAGGCUUGGUAGCAUAUAGACAGGGAGUUUCCUCAUUUUGCGUCAGAGGUCCGAAAUGUGAGGCUCGGGCUCUCAUCCGACGGGUUCAACCCUUUUGGCAACAUGAGUCUUCGAUACAGUGUAUGACUGGUCAUUUUGGUACCGUACAACCUUCCUCCAUGGAUAUGCAUGAAGAAGGAAUACAAUAUGUUGAGUUUGUUGAUUCCAAAGCCCGAUUAUCCAGAGAAGUGUCUCCAUGUGUAUUUGAGACCUUUGAUUGAAGAGCUUAAGUUUUUGUGGGACGUUGGUCAUCCCACUUAUGACAAGUACAUGCACGAGAUGUUCUAGAUGCAUGUCAUGGUUGUUGGUACCAUCAGUGAUUUUCCUGCCCGUGGGAUGUUGUUGGGCAACGUUGUUAGGGGAUACAAGGCUUGUCCAGAGUGCCUUAACGAUGAGGGAAGCAGCAGUCAUUGCAACAAGAUAUGCAAUUUGGGUCACCGUACUUUCCUUCCAUAUAAUCACGAAUGGCGGUUCGAUGACAAGGCAUUUGAUGGGACCGUAGAAAACGGUGUGUCUCCUAGAAGAUGGACGGGGGAAGAAAUUUUAGCAAUGCUUAAUGAGUACGAUUUUGGGUAGCUCAGCAAUCAUCCCAAUAUUGUGGCGGCAAUACUUGAAAGACCCGACAGGUACAAAUUCUGGACACAUAAGAGCAUAUUCUGGGGACUCUCAUACUGGAGUAAGUUGUUAAUCAUGCACUACCUAGAUGUGAUGCACAUAGAAAAGAAUGUUUGCGACAGUGUGGUGGGCACAGUGCUGAACUUGGAGGGGAAGACGAAAGACGAUCCUAAGACACGCAUUGAUCUACAAAAAAUGCUUAUAAGAAGACAUUUGUGGUUGAAAGAAGGGAAGAAAAAAAUGCCUCAAACUCCUUACACCGUGAAGCCUGACCAGAAGAACGUAAUUUUCAGGUGGAUGAGUUGUGUGAAGUAUCCUUCAGGCUAUGCAGGAAAAAUAGCCCGGUGUGUGAACUUCCGGGACAAUAAGAUGUACGGGUUGAAGAGUCAUGACUGUCAUAUCCUGUUACAACAUCUCUUCCAUGUUUUCAUUCGACCGUUCCUUCCCCGUCUGGUGGUUGAGCCGUUAGUAGCGUUGGCAAGAUUCUUCCAGAAGUUAUGCACACGGAAAGUGAAAAAAUCUAACCUCCGGGAAAUGCAAGGGAACAUCAUUUAUAUCAUGUGUAAAUUUGAGAGAAUAUUUCCUCCAAAUUUUUUUGACAUCAUGUCUCACCUAAUAAUUCAUCUUCCCGAGCAAUUGUUGCUUACCGGUCCAGUACACUACACUUGGAUGUAUCCCAUGGAAAGGUACGUUUUUUACACCUGAAUUCCACAAUAUACAUGUUCAAUAAUCAUAACACUUUGCAACUUGAUUUAUAGGCAACUUGGAGACUACAAAGAUUAUGUGGCUAAUAGAUCCGCGCCUAAAGGAUGUAUAGCUGAAGCAUAUAUUGCGCACGAGUGCGUCACCUACAUAAAGUUGUAUUUAGGAGCGUUGAAGGAAACUCCGCAAACCAUGCCGGUAUUCCUAACUCCUCUACCGUUCGCCUUAAUAAUUUUAAGCGGGUUGUUCGGUGCGAAUUCGUGAUGAAGAGCCAAGGCUUAUUGAUGUUGAUCCAAAUCAAGAAACAGACGAAAACUCUGGCGAUGAGGAAAGACAUAGAUUACUAGAAAUUAAUUCUGACACCGAAGAAGACUCAUCGGAUGAUUCCGAUUACGAGCCUUAGUUUUAAUUUAGAGGACGUAAUACAUUAAUUUGUAAUAAAAAAGAAUGUAUUACCUUUAUAGUUUACAUAUGUUGAAUUCAUAUUUAUGUUAUUUUAUAUGAAUUUUGAUGAUAUAUGAACAAGAAGUUAGUAUGGUUUACAUUAAACCUUCUGUUUUUUAAUGUAUUUUUAUGCUUUAGCCGACGAAAUAUAUCAUAAUUCGUCGGCUUAAACCCUCUUAGCCGAUGAAUUAUAGUAUAUUUCGUCGGCUAAAACCAUCUUAAAUAAGUCAUAAUUCGUCGGCUAAGAUGAGGUUAGCUGACGAAUAACCUAAUAUUUCGUCGGCUAAACCCUAAACCCUAAACCUUAGCCGACAAAUACUCUAACAUACGACUCGUUGCGUCUCAUCGAUUUGAAACUAUUUUCUGUUGAAGGUCCGGUCGAAAUACGUAAUUUAGACGGUCCAAUGACCUUUUCCGUGCGUUUAGGGGUUUGACUUACGGGAUUGACCGUCCGAAUCGAGCCCUUAACCUUGUCGGAUCAAUUUGAAUUUUUUCCCAUACAUGUAUUUUAUCAUGAUGGUCAGAUCUGACGGUCAGAUUUUCGUAUCUCAAGUUUGAUCAUCACAAUCACAAUGUGCCGAAUGUAUAAAAUAAAUAAAUUGAAAAUAUUAAAUAAAAAGUACUAUGGCCGAAAAAUUUCAUUACUUUAGGCGACGAAUUUCAUUACUUUAGCCGACGAAUUUCAAAGGUUAGCCGACGGAUUUCAAAGGUUUAGCCGACGGAUUUCAAUUGUUAGCCGACGAAUUUCAAAUGUUAGCUGACAAGUAAAAAUUUCUUCGGCUAAAGGUAUAGGGACCGUAGAAAACCCAGCGCUUGACAGAGCUCCAAAAAAGCCUAAAAAACUUACCGGUCCGCCUCUUCGAGCCCACCACCACCUCACCGCGCUCCAUAGCCUCACCGCCUCCUCGAGCCCACCACCGCCUUACCGCGCGCUCACCGAGCUCCACAACCUCCACCGCCUCCUAGGUGAUAGCAGCCAAUCUGCCUCCUUCCGCCCUCUCCCUCUCGUAAUCUCCCUCUCCCUCUCCCUCUCCCUUUUCCACAAUACAAACACAGUCGAAAGGUAACUCUUUUCUUGACUUUGCUUGCUCUGUUUGCUUUAAUUUGCGGAUCUGGGUUGUUAAUUUGUGAUUUGCAAUGUAAUUUAGUUCGGUUUUUUUGAAAUUUCGGUGCUUUUUGACCUUUGGAAAUUUGUGGUACUAUGGAAUUUGGGACUGAUUAAUGCUCAAUUGGGUUGGUAAUGAUUUGGAAUAUCUGAUAUGGUGGAAGGGUGGUUGUUAUAGAUGUUGAACUCUGCUGAUUGAGUGGAGUCUUGGAUGUUAGGAAAGCUGCUAGGUUCUAUAGUAGUGUGAUUCUAGUUCAUUCUUAUAUAUCUUAUGCGACUGGCAUUGUAGUACAAUUCAAGUUUAGACAUUUUGUUUCUAGUUGUGGGUUCUCACCCGAUUUGUGAGCAUGUUCAGGGUAUUAGUUGCUGGUUUGCUGAAAAUAGAGACAUGGUAACUCUUUUCUUCCUGACAGAAUCCAUUUAUAAAAAGGAAAACUAAAAAAUCAAAAGAAAUCUAAGGAAAUAAACUAAAUAAUAUUCAUAUCAUUCAUCCAUAACAAGGCAUUUGCUAGGUUGCGUAUGAGAACUGGUAUUCAGUUUUGAUUCAAAUUAAUAUUUUAAACAGGAUGAGCGGUAAUUUUAGAUCGACGAAGGGUUCGAAGGGCCAAAGAUCCGAAUCGUCUUAGGGAACCUCUAACAACCCUCAAACGUCAUUUCGGGGCCCUAUGACAGCCAGACGUGCGACCCUUCUAGAGACGGCGCAGAGGCAGCCCAGCGGUUCCCAUUCCUCGAGGCAGCCGGAGGUGCCCUCUUCAUUGAGACAGCCGAGCGUCCCUCGUUCCUCGAGGCAGCUGUGGCCUCAAACCUAGACGGAGGUGUCUACACCCCGUAUACUUGAGAUACACCGAGCGCCCACUCCGGGUCCUACUACUUCAGAUGGUGGGUCAAAUGGGGUACAGAUGCCGCCGCCUCAUCUGUUCCUUCCGCGGAUAAUACCGGCCUUAUCUGCAGUCGAUGGCUUAGGGACGCCGAUUUAUCCACUGCCCCCGCCAGUGGCUUCAUCAGCGGCGUACCGGUUCGUGCCUUUUGAUACGCCUCUUAUUUCCAUGAGGGUAUCAUCAUCGGCGACAGAGACGGAAUUCGUCGCCUCCGCCGCAUCGCCCUUAGGUAAUGAAAGAUGAAUGAUUUGUUUUCUUAUAAUUAAUAAUAAAGGGUCUCAGAUUUUAAUAAUCAAUUUGGUUUGUCAUGUGAUAAGCACCGUCGGAGCGAAGCCGACAAAGAAGAAGAGAGGCCCCGUCACAGGGAAGGCUCUCGAGAAGAAUGUCAAUACCUCAGGGAGGAUCGUCAUCGGUACUGACGGGGAUGGCCACAUAGUAUCGGGCGGGAAGUCGAGGACGUACUCCGGCCGCGUGGGAGCGCUCAUUAGGGAUAGAGUCCCUAUGUUGUGGUCAGACAGGGGCGAGGUUCCGCUGGAGGUUAAGGACAUGGUCCACAACGCGAUGUCGGUGAGUUUACAAAAUGCCUCAAUAAUAUUAUGUAUUACAUUGUUGAUUUCUCGAAAAACUAAACUAAUAAACGGUUAAAUGCAGGUGUGGUUUGACGUUCCCGAGCACCUGAAGAACAGCUGGGCGGACGUUGUGCAUGGGGAAGUUACGUUAGGAAAUUAAUGAAAAAACAAAAUUGUAUGUGAUAUUAAUAAUAUUUCUAAUAUUUUUGUUGUAUCUGUAGGUACAAGGAGUGGAAGAACGAGUUGCGGACCCACUGGACUACGCACGGGAAUGCAUGUUCUGGUACCCUUGCUGAGUUCCAGUACAGGGAGUACGAGUGGCGUUGGCUUCUGACAUCAGAAUUCAACAACCCUCAUAAACAGGUAUUUAAAAAAAUUAAUUAGUUAAUUUGUCAUUAAGUACGUCCGUUUUUAAAUAUUUCACUAAUAGUUUUUUUUUUUUCUUUGAAGGCCGUUUCCCGGGCGAACACUCAGAACCAGCAACGCAACACAAGGAACCAUCGUGCCGGUUCUAGACCGUUCGCUGUCUUCAUGGAUGAGGCGGCCAGAGAACAUCUAGAAGUCAACCGGUACAUCUAUACGUACGAGAAGACAUAUCCUGACGCCCAGGAGGAUAUUGUAAGUCAUCUUACGUUUUUAAAUUUUUAAUUUUACUUAUAUAUAUGUCAAAAUGUUAAUUAAUCAUUUUUUUCCUAUCCAAUUAGGCGAAGUUGAGGGAGGCUAGUGACGAGGUGAUGAGUGCUAUAGUGAGGGAGACAUGGCCGGACACGCAGGAGGAAGAGAUGUCCGAAGCCAUGUCCCGGAUCGACAUUUCAGAUCUGAGGGUUGGGGCGAGGAUCAUGGGCACAGCCUUCCCACCGCGAGGAAACAACUUCUACAAUCGGGGUCUAGGAAAGAAGGGCGAGGGGGCCCUGAAGACCACUCCAGGAUUUCAACGAAACGCAGCCUCGACCAGCAGCAGGACGACUUAGCUAGAGUCGGAAGUUCAGAGACUACGGGAACAGCAAGCUGCUCAGGCUGCCUAUACUGCCGCGGUAUAUGCCACCCAGCAGGCCCAGCAGCAGCAGAUGUUCCAGUACUUGCAGGAGUUUACAGCUGCCCAGCUUCAGGGACUUCCGCCUCCGCCCAUGCCUACGCCUAUAUCGCUACCUCAGCCGCCGCACCCUCCUCCGCAGUAGCCCCCAGAAUCGGAUAUUGAUUUAGAUGAUCUAAAUUUUGUGUAGUUGAUCAAUUAUAUAGUUUUAUGUGCUUGUUGUUGGUUAUAUGGAAUUGUUUUGGUGUAUUUUGCAGCUUGCUUGGAAUGGUAAUUUAGAAAUUUUGGGUUUGUUUUUUUACUGGAAUGGACUUAUAGCCGAUGAAACAUGCCAUAAUUCGUCGGCUGUAGUAUUUUAAAUUUUUUUUAUAAGGUUUAGCCGACGAAUUAAGGCAUGUUUCGUCGGCUAAACCCUUUUAAAGCUGACGAAACAGACUAUAUUUCGUCGGCUAUAGUUAUUUUUUUAAUUUUUUAUUACAUACUUAAGCUGACGAAUAUCUUAAAUGUUUCGUCGGCUAAAGUCUCAUACUACGGUCGACGAAACAUUGAAGAUAUUCGUCGGCUCAAUUCUGGGACAAUAGCCGACGACGUCUUCUUGUUUCGUUGGCUAAAGUCAUCGCCGAUGACUCUUUCCUGACGAAAUCAUAGCCGACGAAGGCUCGUCGGCUAAGAUCUUAGCCGACGAAUUUUGCUAACAGGCCGACGAAACUUUUUCGUCGGCUAAAGUGCUUGUCCUGGUAGUGGAGGGUUUUCAAAGAUAAGAGGCAUGAUGCGUUUUGGGAUGAAUCUGAUGGAGAUUAGGGUCGAAAAGGGUGUGAAUCUGACAAGGGCAUAUGAGUCAGUUCAUAUAAUUCUCGGCUGACUUAGGCACUUAGGCAUGACUUGGCACUGACGUGGUAGUUUUUUAACGACCAUGUCAUCAGUCUAACGAAGAAAACCAACGGAGGACUAUUUGGAUAAAAAAUCGUGACUUUAAGGACCAUUCAGAUUAAAAUGAAACUUCAAGGACUAAACAGAUGAAAACUUCAAACCACAGGGGCUAAACAAAUUUUAAUUCUAUUCUUUUUGAUUUCUGGAUUUCGUAUGGAAUGCAUUGAGAGUAUGAUAUGUACUGUUUGUCAAACAUGCAUGAUACUUUUGGAUCCAAAUAUGAUAAGUUCCACUGGAGUAUAGUUGUUUACAGUUGCAAAAUGUCAGGUAGCUAACCUUAUAAAUAGAUUAUUUUACUCAUUCUGAGCAAAGUAUAUAUUGUGAUGGUGAUUUUGUUAAUUAGAAAGAUUAACAAAUAGGAUCGUUCGGACGUACAACUACCCUUCCAAAAUUCUCACAUACAUGAAUUCUAUCCAUAAUCAUAUGGUCAGCCAAGAGUAAGGCUAACAUGUAUUUCAACAUUAGCAUCCUGUGCAGAACUUUUUGUUUUACUCAUUUUAUAAUGCAUAUCUUAUGAAUAAUUCCUCAUCAAUAAUUGUUCCCAUAUAUCGAUCUCCAUUCCUCUAUCUUGAAUUGAUCAUCCUCUGUCUUGAAUUGUUGGGCGUGCACCUCUUCCAAGUAGAAACGUCGCUAGCGAAUAUGUUAAACUGCAGAUACAGUGAUCCUUCGCUAUCUUUUUUUUUUUUUUUUUAUUCGUACAGAUUUUUUUUUUCUUUUCAGACUUUAGAUUUUGAUUUUUCAUUAUUUUAUUGUAAUUUGAGUUGUUGUGAAAUUAGAUAAUUUCUACGUCACUUGCCACAUCAGUUUUAGUAGGUUGACAUCAUACUUAGAAUUGAUCUAGACCAUUGAAUUUUUUAAAAUCCAAUGGUUAAGAAAUAAUGUCAAAAUUAGUGUUAAAUCUAAUGUCUCUUGAACCGGCCGUAAAUACUAGUGUUAAAUCUAAGAAUUGUGUAAAAUUCCAUAAUCAAGAUUUCUAGGUUAAAUCAAAGGGUAAGGCUAGGGUUUGUUAAUACAUGUGAUGUAUCAACUUUGCCCUCAAGUUAUAAAAUGAGUCCUCAAAGUUGUAAUAUGAGUCGUUAAAGUUGUAACAACUUUUUUUAAUCACUUUGAGGACUCAAUUACCACUUUAAACACAUAUUUUACCACUUUAAAGACAUAUGAUUACUAAUGUUGUAACAUGAAAAUUUCAGAACUUUAAGGACUCAUAUUACAAUUUCGAGAACUAAUAUUACUAGUUUGAGGAGUCAAUUUACAAAGUUGAUGUAUCACAUCAUUCACAUGUAUUAACACAUUGUAGAAUUUUCCUAAAUGAAAUCCCAGAUUCAGUCUUUUCAAAUUAAGAAUAUCCCCCAGGAUUAUUGCUUUUUUAUUUCAACUUAUGGAAACUGAGGUCUGAUUCGAUGGGAACGGCGUCGUUGCUCUUCGUUGGUGAUGUGUUAUGGUGUUGUUGUUGUGCACCUCUCACUUGGGUUUAUGAAUAGAGNNNNNNNNNNNNNNNNNNNNGAGAGAGAGAGAGAUGGGUAAGUUAUUCGGUAUGGCUCACAAAUUGGAGUGAAGUUUCUUUCAGCCAUCAGAUCAGCUUCAUUUAAAUCUAAAGGUCACAAGUGACAUGUCCCUUUUGUCCUGUAAAAUCUCUUCCAUAGGUGAACGAUCUUGUUACUAUGCUAGCUAAGUCGUAGUUAAUAGGCUAGACUCGCUUAUGCUUAGGCAUCUUCAUCAUCCUUCAUCCUACCUCUAGGAGUAACAUGGCGAUAAAUGUUCAUUUCCUUUGCACCAUUGCUUGCAUCCCUUUUUCUUGUCAAAACUUUAAUUGAUUUCAAGUCUAUUCAAUCUCCAUCAUUGUCUUUCACCCUUUCUCAAAUUACUUAAAAAUAAAUAAAUAAAUAAGAAUUGAAAUUUGUUUAGUCCUUAUGGUUUGAAGUCGACAUCUGUUCAGUCCUUGUAAUUUUAUUUUAAUAUGAAUAGUCAUUCAAGUCACGAUUUUUCAUCCAAUGGUCUUUCCGUCAAUUUUUUCUGUUAGAAUACUGACCUGGCUGUUAAAGACAUUGUAAUUUUUAACGGCCACAUCAACAAUAUAACUGAGAAAAUUGACGGAAUGACUAUCUAAAUGAAAAAUCGUGACUUUAAAGAUCAUUCAGAUUAAAAUAAAACCACAAAGACUGAAUAUAUAUUGACUUUAAACCACAAGAACUUUACAGUAUUUUACCCAAUAAAUAAACUAGUUGAUGCAUCCACACAUUUCUAAGGCAUUGGCUCAACUCCCCCACUAAUUGAUUAAUCGGCUAGGACUGAACAUAUAUCAAUUUUAAACCACAAGAACUUUACAGUAUUUUACUCAAUAAAUAAACCAGUCGAUGCAUCCACACGUUUCUAAGGCAUUGGCUCAACUCCCCCACUAAUUGAUUAAUCGGCUCAGAAACAUUUGAAGGAACGAUCGACCCUAAUUAGCUCACCAAAAUUAACCUAAAGUGAACAUUUUGUAGUUGUGUGUAGGAAGCGUGGUACCAAGGAGAUCCCUUUCUUUCGCUUCCAUAGCAUCUCUUUUUUCUCCAUCAGCGAAUGACCCACCAAUCAAGGAUUCAAGGGUUCUCUCAUCUCUUCCCUUUUCUUUAUUCCACCCCUUUUUGUUUUUGCCUCUUUCAUUGAACCUUUUCUUAGAGAAGAAAAGUGAAGCAGGGCCAGCACUUCCUUGUUUUCAGAUUUUAGCAGCAAAUUAGAUGGAGACGCGACCCAUCCCUAGUACGCAAGUUGCGACUUGAUGCUGCUAUCCACUCGCAUAAGGGCAACAUAAAUUAAAUUCUCAAAGAAAAAAGAAAAAAAAAAAAAAG